CCUACGGGUGACAGCAGUGAGGAAUAUUGGUCAAUGGGCGGGAGCCUGAACCAGCCAAGCCGCGUGAGGGAAGACGGUACAGCGUAUCGUAAACCUCUUUUGUCAGGGAACAAAGGCGGGGACUAGUCCCCGGAUGAGGGUACCUGAAGAAAAAGCAUCGGCUAACUCCGUGCCAGCAGCCGCGGUAAUACGGAGGAUGCGAGCGUUAUCCGGAUUUAUUGGGUUUAAAGGGUGCGCAGGCGGCCUGUUAAGUCAGCGGGAAAAGCCCGGGGUUCAACCCCGGAGAGCCGUUGAAAAUGGCAGCCUGGAGUUGGAGAGAAGUACGCGGAAUGCGCGGUGUAGCGGUGAAAUGCUUAGAUAUCGCGCAGAACCCCGAUUGCGAAGGCAGCGUACCGGCUCCACACUGACGCUGAGGCACGAAAGCGUGGGUAUCGAACAGGAUUAGAUACCCCUGUAGUC
This 459-nucleotide ribosomal RNA is filed under the name uncultured bacterium. Its description in RNAcentral is "partial 16S ribosomal RNA". It matches the Rfam family "Bacterial small subunit ribosomal RNA", at positions 338 to 795 of the family's 1533-position model. The record is from RNAcentral.